Molecule: ribosomal RNA, 253 nt
Filed under: uncultured Armatimonadota bacterium
Lineage: Bacteria; Bacillati; Armatimonadota
Description: uncultured Armatimonadetes bacterium partial 16S ribosomal RNA
Rfam family: Bacterial small subunit ribosomal RNA
Source: RNAcentral
UACGUAGGGGGCGAGCGUUGUCCGAAUUCACUGGGCGUAAAGCGCGCGUAGGCGGGUUUUUAAGUUGUGGGUGAAAUCCCGAGGCUCAACCUCGGAGCUGCCUGCAAAACUGGAAGCCUUGAGGUUUGGAGAGGGAAGUGGAAUUCCAGGUGUAGCGGUGAAAUGCGUAGAUAUCUGGAGGAACACCCGUGGCGAAGGCGGCUUCCUGGCCAUAUCCUGACGCUGAGGUGCGAAAGCUAGGGGAGCGAACGGG